This 52-nucleotide non-coding RNA is filed under the name Bradyrhizobium sp. RNAcentral's name for it is "Guanidine-II sequence". It matches the Rfam family "Guanidine-II riboswitch aptamer (mini-ykkC)". Rfam says of the family: Simpler in structure and has fewer highly conserved nucleotide positions than the ykkC-yxkD leader. Despite this each of its two stem-loop structures directly bind free guanidine. The record is from RNAcentral. Lineage: Bacteria; Pseudomonadati; Pseudomonadota; Alphaproteobacteria; Hyphomicrobiales; Nitrobacteraceae.
CGGGAAGGACGGCCUUCCCCUUUCUCAGCACCUCGCCGCGGGGACGACCCUG